Molecule: ribosomal RNA, 253 nt
Filed under: uncultured bacterium
Lineage: Bacteria
Description: partial 16S ribosomal RNA
Rfam family: Bacterial small subunit ribosomal RNA
Source: RNAcentral
UACGGGGGGGGCAAGCGUUGUUCGGAAUUACUGGGCGUAAAGGGCUCGUAGGCGGCCAACUAAGUCGGACGUGAAAUCCCUCGGCUUAACCGGGGAACUGCGUCCGAUACUGGAUGGCUUGAGUUCGGGGGAGGGAUGCGGAAUUCCAGGUGUAGCGGUGAAAUGCGUAGAUAUCUGGAGGAACACCGGUGGCGAAGGCGACAUCCUGGACCGGUAUUGACGCUGAGGCGCGAAAGCCAGGGGAGCAAACGGG